UUCCGGUAGGGGAUAUGAAGAAAGAGAGGACGGCAUCGCAAGAAAGACACGCACCGACUCCCCUACACACGCACACACAGCAGCGUCAAGAGCAUCUUGACCCUCCGCACAGGAACGAUUCACAGGAGGUGGUGUGGGGAUACUUGUGCACAUUCUGCUUUCCACCCCUCUCGUCCCCCUCUCGCAGGUGAGAGGGCGAGCGUGUGAACGAUAGACAUACCCACCCCUCCCCCUCACCCGCACCUCCCUCCCUCCUCAUACCGUUCACAUAAACACGCGCACCAACGUACAUAAAUUUAUAGCUGCUUGCCUCGCUUCCCCUCUCUGCAUUUGCCGUCUGUCUCCCUUCUGUGGUGUUCGUUUCCUUGCCUCGAUCUUGGUGGUUGUUGCUGUUCCCCUUUGCGCGUUUUAUUUUGCCUGUGUUCUCCUCCUCCUCUUCCUCCGCCUGUGGACUUCCUCUUCCCACCCCCUCCUCCUCUCUCACUCUCAGUAGUUUGUAUGCGCGCCACCGCUACGUAGACGAAACCCGUGGCUUUUUAUCUCCAUCAGCCGCCGUCAUUGCCUGCGCAUCGCCUUCUUCCCAUUUUUGCCUCAUCUUUUUUUUUUCCGCAGGGGCGCGGCGUCACCCAAGGUGCAUUCGAAGAGAUUCUCAAAAGGCGCUCUCCCCCCGGCCCACGUCCCUUCGCUCAUCGCAAUAUCAAGUGCUUAUCAGCAUAAUCACACACACACACACACGCGGACAGACCAAAACGACGAAACACCUGCCCGCUCAGCGCUAAGACGCUCGGUUUUUCUUUUAUUUUCCCCUUGUUCUUGAACCCCCCCUUUUCCAAGGAACAGCGAAGAUCUGCUUCGUGUGUGCGUGACGACGUGGACGGGAGAAGGCGCCGACGUGCCGUCUGAACACAGGCAGACAGGCAAGACGGAGAGAGAGGGACGCAGUUUGUGGAGGUGAGGAAAAGGGUGUCUGUACACCCCCUUGUUGUCGCCAUCUUCGUAAAACAGCGGCUCCGGGACUCGCUUUCUUCGCUUCUUCGUUGCUGCGUAGUUCUCUGUUGUCAUUGUUCGCUCUUUUUUUCUUCAACUCUGCACGUGUGCCUGUGCUACAUGGCCAUCCAGCGUGCCAACCGCAGCACCCGCAUCAGAAGUCAAAGAGAUAUUCACAAGCAACCCCCUCCCUCCCUCUCUCCCUCCAGCACCUCUUGGCUUGCUCCAGCCCUUCGAGAAAAGAGAGGAGCACACAUAACGACGCCACGUUGUCGCUCUCUGCCGCUCGUCAUUUUGUAGUUGGGGUGUGCACUCUUCUCACGUUCUCCUGGUUCUUGUCUGCUUGCCGUCUGGCCUUGUUCGUUUUUUUUUUGGUGCUUCCACCACCCCACGCAUCCGCACCCUCGAUUUUCCUCGGCCGCUGUUUCUCUUUCUCCGUGUGUGUGUGCGUGUGUGCGUGUCGGUGCUCGGUGUUCGGUGUUCCGUGCGCCGCCUUCGUUGUGUACCACUACCUCCUCUCUUCCUCCACUGCUCUCCCUCGUUCUCUUUAUUUUCAGUCUUCUUCGCCUUUUUGACGUUUUCGGUGUUGUGUGCCUGUCGCUACCCGCGUGGGUGUGUCUUCGGGUGCAUCCGUGACUUUGCCGCGAGAGGGCAGUCCCCGCGCCCCCUCCCUUCUCUCCUACACGUCUUCACCCACACGCACGCCAACAGACGUACAGCGGACUCGGCUCUUCCAUCGCUGUGGGAGUGCGACAAUGCGGCUCUCAUCAUUGUGUCAUGAUACUCAAGGAGCAGCACAGAGAGGCGUCGGUGGCCGCGGUCGUUCCCAAGGAAGACGGACCUCAGUGCGCCCAACUGCGUCGUAUGUGGGGAGAGGCAGAGCAAGCCGGCGGUCCGCCACGACAGCGCCGCGUCUGCAGCCGGCUUUGCAUCGUGAGGUGCCCGCUUCCUCUGCUUCGCCUUCGAAGCCGAUCAGCACCACCCCCACAGGCACGCAGGGGCUGCCGUCGCAGGACCCUGUCUCAGACGCUGAGGAUGCAGUGGUGCCGAUUGCUUUGUUGACAUCGGCCUCGCUGGCGCAGUCAUGUGUUCAGUCGGAAGGCCACGUCAUGGCUUCCCGGCCGCCGCCGCCGUCGGGGAGAAGCGGCAACUCGCUCGACGGCGACUCAACGGCCGUGUCCACCAUUGUCUCCGACUCCGUCGCGCAACAACGUCCUCUUGUGGCGUCAGCGAUCGUCAUGCCGGGUAGUAGUGCCCCCUGGUCCGUUUCUGGGCGUUGUCCGUCUGUGCAGUCGUUCCAGAGCCGUGCCACGAGCCACUCGACGACCAUGGCGAGGGGUCGCACCGGUUCCUUGUCUUCACAGCCCGCUGCUGCCCUCUCGUCGCCGAGGUUGUCGAGCUUCUCUCAUCUCCGUCCGCUUCCGUCGAGCAAGGAGGCGGAUUACCUCAACUUAGCCCAUCAGCGCAGCUUUAUUGGACGCUUCCGCUGUGCGACUCCAGUGGUGAUACGCACGCCAGCUGCCGCUACGUCGCAUGAACUUGCCGCACUGUCCACUAUCGACGGCUCCACGCCGUCGCACGUGCGCAACGGUAAAAUGCAUGAGGAGACGGCAGCGGCAUCGGUGUGCGUCGCCGCCGCUGCUGACGGGUGCGCGCAAGGUGUCGAGACCGAGGCGCAGCAUGCCGUUGACGUGCCCUCUCUUCACGCCGUGGCGGCCGGUCAUCCUUCCUCGCUCACUGCACCGGGUAGGUCUCCGCGGCAAUUGGGGCGCCGCGUGUCUGGCUCUGGGGCGUCGAUGGCCAGCAGUGGGACGGCGGGGCCCGGCGCUGGUCGGGGCCGACCUUUGUCGGUCCUCAACGGAGCGCGCCCGCGCGGUCUUGUGCCUUCUUCGUCGGCGUCUGCUCUCGUACGCUCGACAGGGGCGACGGCGUCUGCCGGCUUGCAGCGCCGAUCUUUCGCUGCCCACUGUGGCCUGCUCGCCGCGAACAUGGAGCCGCUGGUGAAAUCGGGUCUGCACACGUCUCUGUGGUUGGCUCAGCAGGAUGGCGGACUGGAGGUGCGUAGCAUGGCGAACCCCAAUCAAGUGCUGGCGAGUCUUCCGCGCCGCGACCCUCGAGCCGUCAUCACCUCCCUGACGGAAGUCUGCGGCAGCCGCGUCGUCGCCGGAUACACGGACGGUACGCUGUGCGUCUACGAUGCCGUCACGAUGAAGCUAACGGCGGAGCAUCGCGCACAUACGGCUGCCGUGACGUGUCUGCUCCACGUGCAAGGCGCCCCGCGCUUCUCCCUGCACACCGGUGCCGAUGCGGAGACGCACGGCAAGCAUGGGUCGACCCCCACACAGUCGCUCCUGCUCACAGGCUCACUCGACCGCUCCAUCGCGGUGUGGGAAGCCGCGAGCAUGUCUUACCUACACAAGCUGAAGGGCAAUCUGCGCAGCAUCGGCGCGCUUGCGGCGACCGCGACUGGCGGGUACGCUUUCAGCGGCUCUGACGACGGAACGCUGCGCAUGUGGGACGCGGUGCAAGGCGACCAGCUCGCUAUUACAAAGGAGGAGCGAGCGAAUGCCGUUAAGAGAGUCAGUGAGAUGGACGUGGCCGCAGCGGCGCCCCUGCUGCAGCGGCUGGUGGUGGCAUCGACAGCUGCCCCUGCUGCGGCGGGGCACGCGAGCAUCUCGGUAUCUUUCCAUGGGCUGCACAGAGGAGAGACAGAGGCAGCGACGGGUCGAGAGGUGCGCGCCGGCAAGUCUGCAGUGCCCUCGCCACGCGUCUUCCAGCGUCCGUUGCUGACCUCGGUGCCGGCGAGUACCAGCGGCUUCGCGGCUGUCGGCCCGCCUCGUCUUUCCACACCCCCAGCCGUCGCAGACGGUCGCCACCACCGCUUCCGGGAGGGCCACAGCGCGAUUAAGAAGAGCUCUCUAGGCAGACGCGCCGGUGCCCAUAUAGUGCCGGUUGCCAUGCGUGGCGCCCGUCUCCUGGCUAAAGCCGCUAACGGUGGCGGUCGUGUGCCAUCGCUGUCGGCGUCUCCCUUGAUGCCCUCAGUGGAGGUCGGGCCAUUUGAGCCGACGGAGACGGGCAUGACGUCGAGUGCGUAUCGUGAGGGCAGUGUGUUGGUGGACCCCGAGGGCGGCAUGUCACCGCUUCGCGGCGGCUUGGAGCAGAGUCCGAGUUGGAGGACAAAGACGACGAGAGGGCGAUGAUAGGCUCUGCUGCUGUAGCGGGCGGUCGCUACCGAGAUGCUGGCAGGAGAUCCUUUGCGACGUCGCGCACACCGCGCAGUCUCAAGCGCGGCUUAAAGAAGCGGGCGAAGGGCCUCCUAGCUAAGCGGGGUGCCGGCGUCGCCUCGUCCAACAGCGGAAGGGCGGCGACAAAGACGAAAGCGAAAAGCGCAUCCGCCGCCCCGGCCGCCGGUAUGUGGGCGAGGCACAAGAAAGGGGCACAGAAGAGGACUACGAAGAGUGCGACGUUGGAAGCCGAAUCGACACCGGUGUGCACGCGGUGGCUCGCGAGUUCGUUGGAGCAGCGACUGGAAUCGUGGCUGCGCCUGUACCAGCAACGCGUGCUGCUCUCGGCGGCAUCUAUGCAGCUUACGCAGCGUAUCUCUGCGGGGUACGACGCGGUCACCGCGUUCAACUGGCCCAUCGAGUGCGCACACACUGAGUGUGUGACUGCGCUCGCGGUGGUAGAGGACCGCCUGCUCGUGAGCGCCUCGCGCGACGCCACAGCGAAGGUGUUUGCGCUGCCUUCUGGCCAGUACGUUCGUGCAUUGGAUUCGUCGCGCCGCAUGCCGCUCUCGAGCGUGCUGUAUGACGCCAGCGUUGGCCGCCUCUACACCGCUUUCUUAGACGGCGGUCUCGCUGUGUACGACACCCACGGCACGGAGUUGCCGUUGCUCUCCCAGAUGCAGUCGCCGUACGCGAUUCUCUCUUCCACUUUUGUGCAGCUUCGCAUGACGCCGAUGCGGCGUUUCGUGUGGAUGGCCGUCGUGCGUGGAGAGGAGGCGCCGGGCACGUCACUGAACGGCAGCGUCGGCCUGUCGUCGGUUGUUAUGGGUGCUGCUCAGUUUGAUAGGACCACCAUGGCGCACGGCCCCAACCAAACCGCCACGAGCUAUCGCGUGGGCCAGCCGUCGCUGCGUGAGUUGAACGCCGCUGUCUCACUGCAGCCGCUCCAGCAGCAGCGGGCACGCAACCUUGCCAAGCAGGCGAGGCAAGCAGCAAAUGACAUGCUGGAGGAGAUGGAGUUGUCCGACAUGCGUCGCUGCGGGCUCGUACUGGAGCGUGAAUACGUGCGCCGGCAGUCGUACUGCGUCUUUGCGCGUUGGCGGCAGUGGGCCCAGCGCCGCGCGCUGCGCUCGGACUCUAAGGGCGCCAUUGCAGCCCGAGCGGAGAGCUGCGCGAUGACGCUGCUCGGUCGCUAUACGCAACGGUGGCUGAACUGGACGCGCGCGCGGAAGAGACAUCUGCAAGCGAGGUGUUGCGGAAGGUGCAGUUGCAGGCAAGCGAAGUGGUGCUGCUCGCCGUCUGCAGCGAGGUGCGUGAGGGACGCCGGCGCGUGUGGGCGUUGGUGGCCGAUGCCAUGGGGAGGCAACAGCAGAUCACUCGGCUCGCCUGUGCGUACAGCCGCUGGCGUGAGUUCCUUCGAGCCCGACAGGUGCGUCUGCGCCAGUGCGUGUCGUUCAACAAACUGCUCUUGUCGAUGAACGCCAGCUCCCACACCCCAGCCAGCUGCACCUUGGCCCAGUUGACGCGGAAAGCGACGCGGGUCGCAACCCAGUCAACAGCGCUGUGGCUUCUGACAGAGAAGACGCAAAGCAGUCAGGCGCACGCGCGCCGGCGCCGCUGCUUUGACCUGUGGCGCGUGUGCGCACGGCAGCGUCGGCGCGUUGCCGCCUCCGCAGCGGCGGACCGGGAAUGGGCUGUGGUGGAGCCGCUUUCGUCGUCGCUGGUUCAGCCGUGGAAGCUGCGCCGCCGCUACUUUGCGCUGUGGCAGAACUUUGCCCUGUAUGUAACGCGCAGCGAGCGACUUGCCAGUGAGCGCGACACACUGGGAGUGGAGUGGGCCACACUGCAGAAGACGUUGGAGAAACCGAUGUCGGUGCGAAAGCUUGAGGAGAAGCUGAGUGCUGCGGAGUCCUCCAUGGCUGCUGCGGGGGCAGAGGCGAAGCUCCUGGAGGCACGCCUAGAGACUGUGUUGAGUGAGGUGGCCGUGCUCCGUACAGAGGCGGUGUUGAACAUGCUCAUCGCCGGCUACCGCAUCCCGAAUGUGGUACAGGCAGCAACCCCGCUGCCCCCAUCCACGGCGUCUGCGGUGACGGAAGUGUCGUCCAUGGCCUCGCUGCGCCGCGGCUCGCUCGCGUCGUCGGCGUCGACAGGGUUGUCGAACGGCGGCGUUUUCAGUGGGGCGGUGGCCUGCAGCUACCCGCCGAGCAUCACAGAUGCCGACUGGACGGAGGAGGAACGCGCGCAGCGGCAGGAGGAGGAUAAAGUGCUGUUUGAAGUGAGUGCCGUGCUGCGCGCACUCAAGGGCAAAGCCAUGCAGUACGACCGCGAUGAUAAGCUGCUGUCCACCGCGCACACGCUCGCGCUAAGGCUGCCCAUCUACGAGCCUGCCCACCGCGCGCAGGCGAGCUUAGAGUCUAGUACAGGCCGACACUUGUGCCUCUUGGCCCAGCAGCCGCGGACGCCUCGCAUGCUGUCGGCGUGGUCUGUAUCAAACGCCAAGAGCGGCGGGUCGACUGCUGUGCCGGCGCUUUCCUCGUCAUCGCAGCAGCAGCAGCAGCAGAAACACCGGCCGAAUCGCUUUGCUGCUGGGUCUGCCGGCAGCGCAACACCUUCAUCAGCCACCGUUGCGCUGCCAACGACUUCGGCUACCGCGCGCAGCGUCGCCAGCGCGGCGCAGAUGUGGGCCGCCCAACCGGCGGAGGAGACGUACGCCUGCCUAGCAGACGCAUUCACGGCUGUGUACGCCAACCUGAGCGCGCUCUUGCGCGCCGCGGCGCUGGAGUGCGGUGCGCCGACGCGGAUGGUCGCUGGCACGACGGGGGCUACCACAGGAGACGAUUCGACGGCGCAUGUCGGUGCCUCGUGGAUCACGCAGGUGCCGCUUAAGCAGCGCCGUGUCAUGAUUGGCGAGGUACUGAAACUUGUGACGCUGUUCGACAGCUUCACGGCACACAACGACCUCCCUGUGGAGUGCGCAGGGAGCAUGUCGAAGCGUGGGAGCACCAACACCCGCGCCAUGCCGCUUUGCAGCUUGUGCAGUCGCGACACCGCUACUGCCUUGCUCGAGAACGCCUCGGUGCUGCUGGAGCUCGUUGACCCACACCUGUGGCCUCGCCAGAUCAAGCUGAACCACCUGCAAGACGCCUACGCCGCCGCGAUUGCGGAUUUGAACGCCGCCGUCUCCUCCGCGGGCUUCAGCGACGCCGCCCCGCACAGCAGCACCGUCAUGACUCUCAACAGCGCGGGUAGCGGCGAGCAGGGCGGCUCGCCGGCGCCGACGCCGCUAGUGAUGCGACCACCUGCGCUGCGCCUUUCCGAUGAGGUGCUGCAGGAAGCGAGGGCAGCAAUGCUGCAGCAUGACACGACAACGCUGGCCAUCACAAAUCCAUUCGGUCCACUGUCUGUUGAGCGACGGACGAACCGCUCUGCCUCGAGCGUGCAUAGUGGAUUGAUGCAGGCGACGCCGCUCAGUUCGGCGGACGGCUACGCACCUGCGCGCGUGCACAGCAGUGAAGAGCCGCUGAACACGUCGAAGAGUUUGGAGGGGGGGAACGCCACGCCGACGGCGGAGCCGCAGCACCUGCGGCACCGCAGCACCUCCCACCACUCAUGCCUCGGCGUGUCGACUUCACGCUCCUACACCCCGCGCACCGCAACACUGUCGGUGGCGGGGUCCAUGCUGAAUGGAAUGCUGGUGAAACCAUACCUUGGCUUCCGCGUCAACGUGAACCGCGACACGCAGACGCUGCGGCGCACGACGAUCAGCAUUCGCGAGGUGACACCGCAGUACGUUAACGCUGAGGGCGAGGACGUUGACGGGCCGGCGCAGGUAGCUGGUCUGCAGGUGGGCGACCAGCUCGUGCGUUUUGCCGGGUACGCUGUGACUGACCUCGCCGCCUUCAACGCGGUGGUGUCACGCCACGUGCACGCCGGUGCGGAGCUGCCGGUGGUGAUCCUGCGAAGCGGCGAGCAGCUCUGCAAGACGAUCGUGGUGGGGAGCCGCGCCGCUGCUGAUGCCUAGGCCUGAUGUCGAAGAAGCUGCUUCGAUGUACCGCAGAGUAGCAUUUCAGUGAAGAGAUGGACACCAUGAGUUGAGCUGCCUGCCGUCUUCUUUCACUCGCGGCUUCUCGGUUAUUGUGCACUCGUCAUGGGGAUUUCUCUAUGUGUGAGGGACUCUCUACGGGCUCACCUUUCCGUCGGUCUGAAUGUCUGUUGCACAUAGAACACUGUUGCGCUUCUUCGUUGUGCCUGCCGGUGCGUGUGUGUGUGUGUGUGUUUGUGUGCCUUUUCGAGUUCUUGCUUCCCUCCUCUCUCCUCUCGCCAGCUUACCUUGCCUGUGACAAGCCCGCUUGUGCCACUAGCUCCGCGACGGCACGACUCUGUGCGCGUCCAAGCUUCCGAUGCAGGGGAGAGGAGAAGCAGAGGCCGCUUUGCGGGAAUGGCCAGCGGGGGCCGCCCGCGUCUCCUCUCCCUCAUCCCCACCCAACAGCCACGGCUCCCUCCUCUGUCGUCUGCAAGUGUGUGUGUGUGUGUGUGUGCGUGUGCAUGCGUGUGAUUGUGUUUUUAUCCGGUAGACAUG
This 8790-nucleotide unclassified non-coding RNA is filed under the name Leishmania donovani. RNAcentral describes it as "gene:LdHU3.19.0430(CDS-product:WD_domain_G-beta_r epeat_putative)". Lineage: Eukaryota; Euglenozoa; Kinetoplastea; Trypanosomatida; Trypanosomatidae. The record is from RNAcentral.